Ochotona princeps (American pika) is the source of this 116-nucleotide ribosomal RNA. NCBI's taxonomy places the organism in Eukaryota, Metazoa, Chordata, Mammalia, Lagomorpha, Ochotonidae. The record is from Ensembl.
GUCUAUGGCCUUACCCCCCUUAUCGCUGCCACCUUGUCUGAUCUUGGAAGCUAGGCAGGGUCGGGCCUGGUUAGUACUUGGAUGGGAGACCUGAAGAGCCCUUGAUGUUGUUAAGG